This 431-nucleotide ribosomal RNA is filed under the name uncultured Acidobacteriota bacterium. Its description in RNAcentral is "bacterial SSU rRNA". It matches the Rfam family "Bacterial small subunit ribosomal RNA", at positions 8 to 427 of the family's 1533-position model. The record is from RNAcentral. Lineage: Bacteria; Pseudomonadati; Acidobacteriota.
AGAGUUUGAUCCUGGCUCAGAGCGAACGCUGGCGGCGUGCUUAACACAUGCAAGUCGAACGCGUAACUCCCUGUAGCAAUACAGGGGGCGGGCGCGUGGCGAACGGGUGCGUAACACGUGGGUAACUUACCCUCUUGUGGGGAAUAACCCGCCGAAAGGCGGGCUAAUACCGCAUUACAUCCCGGAUACUUCGGUGAUCGGGAUCAAAGCCCGCAAGGGUGCAGGAGGAGGGGCCCGCGGCCGAUUAGCUUGUUGGCGAGGUAACGGCUCACCAAGGCAAUGAUCGGUAGCCGGUCUGAGAGGAUGGCCGGCCACACUGGAACUGAGACACGGUCCAGACUCCUACGGGAGGCAGCAGUGGGGAAUCUUGCGCAAUGGGCGAAAGCCUGACGCAGCAACGCCGCGUGGGGGAUGAAGCUUCUCGGAGUGUA